This 433-nucleotide ribosomal RNA is filed under the name uncultured bacterium. Its description in RNAcentral is "partial 16S ribosomal RNA". It matches the Rfam family "Bacterial small subunit ribosomal RNA", at positions 29 to 507 of the family's 1533-position model. The record is from RNAcentral.
AACGAACGCUGGCGGCAUGCCUAACACAUGCAAGUCGAACGAGACCUUCGGGUCUAGUGGCGCACGGGUGCGUAACGCGUUGGAACCUGCCCUUAGGUUCGGAAUAACUCCCCGAAAGGGGUGCUAAUACCGGAUAAUGUCUUCGGACCAAAGAUUUAUCGCCUUUGGAUGGGCCCGCGUUGGAUUAGCUAGUUGGUAGGGUAAAAGCCUACCAAGGCGACGAUCCAUAGCUGGUCUGAGAGGAUGAUCAGCCACACUGGGACUGAGACACGGCCCAGACUCCUGCGGGAGGCGGCAGUGGGGGAUAUUGGACAGUGGGCGAAAGGCUGAUCCAGCAAGGACGCGUGAGUGAUGAAGGCCUUAGGGUUGUAAAGCUCUUUUACCCGGGAUGAUAAUGACAGUACCGGGAGAAUAAGCUCCGGCUAACUCCGUG